RNAcentral lists this ribosomal RNA (481 nucleotides) under uncultured bacterium. RNAcentral describes it as "partial 16S ribosomal RNA". It matches the Rfam family "Bacterial small subunit ribosomal RNA", at positions 28 to 507 of the family's 1533-position model. The record is from RNAcentral.
GAUGAACGCUGGCGGCGUGCUUAACACAUGCAAGUCGAACGAAGCACUUUAUUUGAUUUCCUUCGGGACUGAUUAUUUUGUGACUGAGUGGCGGACGGGUGAGUAACGCGUGGGUAACCUGCCUUGUACAGGGGGAUAACAGUUGGAAACGGCUGCUAAUACCGCAUAAGCGCCCGGCAUCGCAUGAUGCAGUGUGAAAAACUCCGGUGGUAUAAGAUGGACCCGCGUUGGAUUAGCUAGUUGGUGAGGUAACGGCCCACCAAGGCGACGAUCCAUAGCCGAGCAGAGAGGGUGACCGGCGACAUUGGGACUGAGACACGGCCCAAACUCCUACGGGAGGGAGCAGAGGGGAAUAUUGCAAAAUGGGCGAAAGCCUGAUGCAGCGACGGCGCGUGAGCGAAGAAGUAGUGAGGGAUGUAAAGCCCGAUCAGCAGGGAAGAUAAUGACGGUACCUGAAGAAGAAGCACCGGCUAACUACGUG